RNAcentral lists this ribosomal RNA (432 nucleotides) under uncultured bacterium. Its description in RNAcentral is "partial 16S ribosomal RNA". It matches the Rfam family "Bacterial small subunit ribosomal RNA", at positions 29 to 507 of the family's 1533-position model. The record is from RNAcentral.
GCGAACGCUGGCGGCAUGCCUAACACAUGCAAGUCGAACGAGACCUUCUGGUCUAGUGGCGCACGGGUGCGUAACGCGUGGGAACCUGCCUUUAGGUUCGGAAUAACUCAGAGUAAUUUGAGCUAAUACCGGAUGAUGUCUUCGGACCAAAGAUUUAUCGCCUUUAGAUGGGCCCGCGUUGGAUUAGCUAGUUGGUGGGGUAAAGGCCUACCAAGGCGACGAUCCAUAGCUGGUCUGAGAGGAUGAUCAGCCACACUGGGACUGAGACACGGCCCAGACUCCUAAGGGAGGAAGCAGUGGGGAAUAUUGGACAAUGGGCGAAAGCCUGAUCCAGCAAUGCCGCGUGAGUGAUGAAGGCCUUAGGGUUGUAAAGCUCUUUUACCCGAGAUGAUAAUGACAGUAGCGGGAGAAUAAGCUCCGGCUAACUCCGUG